UGUUUCCAGUGGCGGACGGGUGAGUAACGCGUAAGAACUUGCCCUUGGGAGGGGGACAACAACUGGAAACGGCUGCUAAUACCCCGUAAGCUGAGGAGCAAAAGGGAGGGAUCGGCCCAAGGAGGGGCUUGCGUCUGAUUAGCUGGUUGGUGAGGCAAUGGCUUACCAAGGCGACGAUCAGUAGCUGGUCUGAGAGGAUGAUCAGCCACACUGGGGCUGAGACACGGCCCAGACUCCGUAGGGAGGCAGCAGUGGGGAAUCUUCCGCAAUGGG
Molecule: ribosomal RNA, 273 nt
Filed under: uncultured organism
Description: partial 16S ribosomal RNA
Rfam family: Bacterial small subunit ribosomal RNA
Source: RNAcentral